RNAcentral lists this ribosomal RNA (274 nucleotides) under uncultured bacterium. RNAcentral describes it as "partial 16S ribosomal RNA". It matches the Rfam family "Archaeal small subunit ribosomal RNA", at positions 473 to 747 of the family's 1478-position model. The record is from RNAcentral.
AAACCAGCACCUCAAGUGGUCAGGAGGAUUAUUGGGCCUAAAGCAUCCGUAGCCUGUUCUGUAAGUUUUCGGUUAAAUCCAUUAGCUCAACUAAUGGGCCGCCGAAAAUACUGUAGAACUAGGGAGUGGGAGAGGUAGACGGUAUUCGGUAGGAAGGGGUAAAAUCCUUUGAUCUAUUGAGGACCACCUGUGGCGAAGGCGGUCUACCAGAACACGUUCGACGGUGAGGGAUGAAAGCUGGGGGAGCAAACCGGAUUAGAUACCCUAGUAGUCC